RNAcentral lists this ribosomal RNA (158 nucleotides) under Trichoderma asperellum. Its description in RNAcentral is "5.8S ribosomal RNA". It matches the Rfam family "5.8S ribosomal RNA". From Rfam's summary of the family: 5.8S ribosomal RNA (5.8S rRNA) is a component of the large subunit of the eukaryotic ribosome. It is transcribed by RNA polymerase I as part of the 45S precursor that also contains 18S and 28S rRNA. The record is from RNAcentral. Lineage: Eukaryota; Fungi; Ascomycota; Sordariomycetes; Hypocreales; Hypocreaceae.
AAACUUUCAACAACGGAUCUCUUGGUUCUGGCAUCGAUGAAGAACGCAGCGAAAUGCGAUAAGUAAUGUGAAUUGCAGAAUUCAGUGAAUCAUCGAAUCUUUGAACGCACAUUGCGCCCGCCAGUAUUCUGGCGGGCAUGCCUGUCCGAGCGACAUUU